UACGGAGGGUGCGAGCGUUGUCCGGAAUCACUGGGCGUAAAGAGCUCGUAGGUGGUUUGUUACGUCUGCUGUGAAAACCUAGGGCUUAACCCUGGGCCUGCAGUGGAUACGGGCAGACUAGAGGUAGGUAGGGGAGAAUGGAAUUCCCGGUGUAGCGGUGAAAUGCGCAGAUAUCGGGAGGAACACCGGUGGCGAAGGCGGUUCUCUGGGCCUUACCUGACACUGAGGAGCGAAAGCGUGGGGAGCGAACAGG
This 253-nucleotide ribosomal RNA is filed under the name uncultured bacterium. RNAcentral's name for it is "partial 16S ribosomal RNA". It matches the Rfam family "Bacterial small subunit ribosomal RNA", at positions 524 to 776 of the family's 1533-position model. The record is from RNAcentral.